AUUGGACAGGCAGUAGAGAUCUACUGGAAACAGUGGAGAGGGAGGAGAUGAUAUGCAGCAUACGGCCCAGCCGGAUGGUUGCUGCUCCGUGUGGAACGUGUCCUAUCAGGUGUAACAUCUACCAAUGGUUGUACAUGACAGAGACCUCCUCCGCCUCUUUGCUGUCUUACUAGUCAAUCCUUCUGAUCAGGUCCUUUCCUAAAUAGUGAAAGGAUCAUGCCAGCCCACAUCAAACACCUGAUCAAGAGCUCGUGAACCUCACUGCUGC
Molecule: long non-coding RNA, 268 nt
Organism: Gymnodraco acuticeps
Lineage: Eukaryota; Metazoa; Chordata; Actinopteri; Perciformes; Bathydraconidae
Exons: 3
Source: RefSeq, a predicted model, not a curated record